Molecule: non-coding RNA, 3740 nt
Organism: Xyrichtys novacula (pearly razorfish)
Lineage: Eukaryota; Metazoa; Chordata; Actinopteri; Labriformes; Labridae
Source: the annotation of a GenBank genome assembly
AUCAGCGUGCAUGAAACAGUUUAUUACAAAUGACAGUGAUAAAAAAAAUCCCGAUGAUGAUGAAGACAUGAGUCCAGAUGUCUGAGAUCCAUAAAUUAAUAAAUAAUAAUAAUAAAUUAAUCAAUGAAUAAAUCCAUCCAUGUUGAAAUCAGGAUCUUCUCUGAUCCAUGAAUAAAAAAGUUCCUACAGCUGGUCUGCUCUGUCACAUGCACUGUAAAAAAACAAACACGAAUGACCUAUCACCUGUAGCAGCAGCAGUUACAUCAUCACAGCAACAGCCAAUCAGAUUUAAGAGUAGGCAGGGAAUGAGCGAUACAUUCUCAUUGGCUGCAGAGCACAGACACACGCCUCACCUGUCUACACCUGCUGUUAAACAUGAAAGAAAAGAGCACAUUUGGUGAACACACCUCACUCUCAUCAGGCCCAGCUACAGGAAACAUGCACCUUUCAAAAUAAAAGUCUGAGACAUCCUGAUACUCCAGAUAAAUUCUUUACAGUCAUAAAAGCUUCUGUUUUCUGCCCGCUUACAGUUUCUAUCUGUUUCCAGUGUUUGUGCUAAACUAGGCAGACACAGUCACAUACACACACACACACACGCACACACAUACACAUAUAGCAUUAGUAAAAGAGGGAAUGGGUGUGUGGAUGAUAUCUUGGGUCAGAAUUGAUCUAAAACAGAUGUUAAAUCUGAAUAAUCUGACGUGGAGGUUAGAAAUCCUGACUUAUUUUAGAGCCCAGGAACUCACAGAGUGAGCUUGGAGUUUGCUUUAACAGACUGUAGUGCAGCUGUUUGUGUUUACAGUGAGCAGGAAAAACAGUCUGUGUGGAGAGCAAAAGCAGGCGGAACACAGUCCAUCACAAUAACAUCCCGGCUCCCAUCAGCUGUGAUCGAACACUGACUUAUUUCUCUCUAUAAAGAGAUAUCUUCACAAAUCAUACUGUUAAUGUAACACUUUAGACAACCAGCAUUAAAAUUUCCUGACUUAUUUGAAUGCAUCAGUAUUAACAGACUUGACCCAAUAAUAGUCCUUUUAUUCCUAGUGAGGACAGACCUGCCAGGCUUGACUUUUUACUUAUUAAUAAUCUGCAUCAAGAGUUUCAGUUUUUUUUUUCUUCAGGUUCAUAAUGUUGAAGUCUGUUGGAGUUAAUUUUCUGUGUAACUUACUGUUUAUAGCAAAACUGAGAUUCUGAGUGAUUUACUUUACACAGUGAAACUGAGACUCCAGAGAUAACUAAUAUCCCGGCUCCUUUCUGCCUGAUCAACCUUCACUCACAUUUGAGGAACAAUACUUUACAUAUAAGUUGAACUGAGGUUAGAGGACUGCUGUUAGGAUCCAGGAUGCUAUUUUGGUGGACUUGGUUCAGCCUCUUGCUGUUUUUGCCCGGGCACAGUCCAUGUUCACAAACCAAAACCAGAAUGCUGCUGAAACUAAAGUCUGGACUGUUCCUGUAUUUAUUUAUUUUUUUGCAUAAUCUGUAAAUAGAGUUUACACAAGAGAAAAUAUUUCAGCUCAAUUACCAAAUCCAGAUUUUAGGAGCUCUAAAUGAGACAACGGGGGGCAAAUUCACACAAACUGGAGACAACUGCUUUGAAUUACACAUAUUUUAAAUCAUGACACUGAUGCUUUUCAGUGAAAUACUUCAUAGCGGCAAAAUCCUUCAUAUUUAAUAACCAUAUAUUCUUCCUAUCUACUCUGUCACUGUAAAUUCAACAAUUAAAGAGCAAAAUAUUAAAUAUAAUCUAAAUUAUCAGCAUCACAAUAAAACUGUUGUUUUCUCGGACCAGUUUAAAGGUUUUCUUCCACGUAGUUCCUGUAAUCCAGCCUGAAUCCAGCCCUCUGCUGGGAUCAGGGUAAUCCUGACUUUUUGGAUCAAGAUUAUCUCCAUCCUACUCAACACUUUGAACAAAAAAAUGAAAGGUUUGAUCAGGAUAAAAGCUGGAUUAGCUAAUUUAAUCCUUCUUUUCUCUUUUGAACAGCCUGUUUUCAUGAUAUGAUCCAGUAUGACAGUUCAGAUCUGCAUUUCAUAGAACCAGGUUUUCCCUCUUUAAACAUUUGAUAUGUCGUCUAUGCACUAUUUUACAUUAAAUACAGGCUUUAAAUGAUACACACACCAUCUGAUUUUGUCUUCAUCAACACUUUACAGCAUCUCAGCUGGUUUGGUUUUGCAUUCCUUCCUGGCAUCAUGUGCUUAAAGGUUUGACUACAGGUGUUCAAAGGAGGCUGAGCUCUGCGUGAUUUGGGGUCAAACUGAACCCAUUUCACCAGGUAACAGUGAGUCAUCAAUCUGAGAGCUGAUUGGUCGGACUGGCUGAUGAUUAGUGUGUUCAGGGAGCAGCAGGAUGUCUCAUUGGAUGUUUUUUUUUGUUUUUUUUUAACUUUCAGACGGUAACUGCGACAUUCAGCUCACACACAUUCAAAGCAUCAACAAUCACAGAAAAAUAACACCAGCAGAGCUCGGAGACAUUCAGUCAGAUUUCACAGGACGUUUCUACACACGCUGCUUCCUGUCUGAGCAGCUAUGACUUCCUGUCAGCGGCACAAACACAAAGAGAAACACAACCUAUCAUCACCUCAGACACACAACAGAUUAUCAGAGCACAAAGUUUAUACAUGGUCGUUGUACGGCGGCGGCGGAGCGAGCAGAUUUAGUUCAGCUUGUGCUGCGUAGAAGCAGAUCUACAGUGUACAUGUUUCUAAUAGACUGAAUCACUGACCUCAGUUCAGUUUGCAGAGUUUCACUUCAUCCACACCUCCAGCAGCUCUCUGCACACACACCUGCUUCAUCUGACCGUCUCCACCAUCUAAAACUCUGACUGCUUCAGUAGAUGAGCUCAGUUUGUUUCUGGUUCUGUGUGAUGACGCAAGUAGAGACUCCUGGAUUUCUCUAGGGCUUUAAAUUGACAUUUAAAACCUCUGAAAUGAAUUUAUACUCACUUAUAAUCUGCAAAAACACAGCUCUCAAAGUCUGCAGAGCAACAAGGAAACAACACACCGCUGUGACGGACGAUUAGUCAGAUUUAUAGAAGAGUGCACAGGUAAGAUUCCUGACCUGUAGGUAGGUGGAUUUGGAGAAGUAGACUGGGCAGAUUUAGAGCAACAGAUGAGUCAAAUUCAGAGGGGUAGAUGGGUCAGGAUAAGAUCUACUAACCCAUCACUAAAUUAUGUUGGAUCAAGUGCAUAAAUAUGGUGGAUUCAGAGGUGGUUUAAGAGCAUUGGUCAGGUAGAUCCAAGGCAGACGAUGGUUCAAAUUCCAAGCAGAAGGUGGGUCUGAUUCAGAGCUGUAAACAGGUCAGAAUCAUGGCUGUAGAUUCAGAAACAGCAUUAUAUUGGAUGGAUUUAAAACAGCUGAUUGGAUAGAUUCUGAUCAUUAAAUGGGGUAGAUUCAAAGCAGUAAACAGGGUGGACUCAAAUAAAUGGUCGGUGUAGAUUCAGAGCAGUAGAUUGGGUUGAUUCAAAGCAGUGGACAGGUUAGAUUCAGAUCAUUGGUGAAGCGGGUUGAUAGAAUUAGACAGGCCAGACUUGGAGCUUAAAUGGGAUAGAAAAUGAGGCAGUUCCAAAGCAGUGGACAGGUUAGAUUUAUAGCAAUGAACGGGUCAAAGUCAGAGCUCAAAUGGGGCAACUUCAGAGAAGUGGAUAAGGUGGUUUAAAAUUUGUAGAAGAGUUGGUACACAUGAGCAGAUAAGGUAAAUUCAAAGUGGAAAAUGGGUCAGACUAAGAGCCAUAGACCGUCUAGAUCCA